GAAGUCUUUGCUACCCCGCGCGCGCAGUCCGUGAAGCCCUUUCCCUUGAAUCUCUUGCUCCUGAAUAUUGAGAACCCUUUGCUUUCCCCCUGCGCGCGCCCCACCAUUGCCCCGCCCUUGCCCCGUCGUUGCCCUGCCGUUGCCCCUGAAUCCGUUGCUCCUGUAUAACGUUUGUUUCGUGCAACCUCUGUCCCUCGAAGAAGCCUCUUUGGAAGCAUUGGAAGCCUCAUUGUGUUGCUUUCGAAUAGCAGUAGGUUGUCCUUGAUAAAGAGAAACAGGUAGCCACGGUGGACAGAGAGGUUCAUGAUGGUAUAGAGACUAUGUGUCUGAACUUACCAGCAGUAAUAACAUAUAUCUAUCCAUAGCACUGUCAUCUCAAUUAUUUAAAGAAGCAUGAAAGAUGUCUAAAGCAUAUCCACCAUUGGAUUCACUCUAUCAGAUUGCAUCAACCAACAUUAGGUUCUCAGUGCGCAAAUUUUGCAGAAAGAAAUUCUAGAAGUUGGCCGAGGACACUCCUAGUAGAAGUGGUAGAAUUAUUCCAAGUAUUUCAGCUGGAACAGCUAUUAACUACAGUUUCAUUCCGGUGUAUGAUAUAAAUAUAAAUAAGCGAAGUGACUGCUUAUCAUACCUUGCCUUCCUUUGCGAGUUUUUCCCUCUCUUCUACAACUAUUAUCCCUCAGAAUUCAAGUGGUGUAACCAACCUGUUUGGAAAUCAGAACUAGCUUGGAACUCCUUUACAACAAAUUCAUUCCACUAUUGAAAAGCUGAUGCAAGUUGAAGAAUCUCAGUGCAGAUCAGAAUAUAUACAAUCAUAGUUACUAAAACUUUGAAAGGGAACUCAUAGUGGUGUGUGGAUAGCAGUCAAAUUUGCUGCCAAAUUGUUGAGGGUAGUGGAAGUGUGCAAAGGGUCAUACUUCUCUUCUUGACAUCCAUUAGUCAACACAUAUCCAGUUUCACAUAUCUUCUUAGUAAGACUUCAUUUAGGUUGGAGGGGGUGAGCACAAAGUUGGAUGACCAUGUUAGAGAUGACAUUUUGUUGGGCUAUUAUGAUACAACAUUCUAUAGAGUGCUUGACCGACACCUAUGUUUUUAUGUAUCCACUCUUGAAUACCUUUUGUAGACAUUUGUAUAUAGUUAUAGGGGUUAAUAUAAUCCCAUAAAGGGAUUUAUGUUUUAAAGUUAAAAUAGUCACAAAGCAUUUUAUGUUUUAUGCAUCUUAUACAUAUAUUUGUUUCAUAAAUAUUCAGGUAAUGUUUGUAUGAGAAUAUUAGGUUAGAUGAUCUUUACGUUUUCCGCUACAUGGUUUCUGUUGUAUGUUGUGCCAAGUGUGGCAACCUGUUAGGUGAUUAGGUGUUACAAUUCUUUUUUUUUUUUUAAGGAAUCUCAUUUUGAAAAUUUUCUUAGAGAUCUCAACUUUUAAGAUUGGACUUUUUUCAAACAAUAGAUCUCAAAUUAUUUGUUAAUUAAAUAGUUUGAUCAAACAAGGUUGUAGUUAUUGCAAUCUCUUUGCCUUCCUCUAUUAUCCUUAAUUGAUGUUGUCAUUUUGUUUCACGCAUAGACCCAUCCUAUGGAAGAUAAUUCUCAAUUAUCUCAAUGCAUAAGUUACUAUAUAUAUAUAUCGGAAAAAGAGGAAGUGGUGAAAGCGCAAUGUAGUGACUCUACGAAAGGAUUCUCUGAGGCAGUGAAAGAGAUUCAGAUUUUGUUUGAGAGAGCGUCGGAUUCUGGGAACGCGAUUUCGGAGAUGCUGGAUGUUGGGAAACUCUGUUACCAUAGAAAAAUUGACCUCAAUCCGGGUGGAUAUUGCUGCUGGUGGAUGGCAUUCUACUGCAUUGAUAGAUGAAGGAGAGGGCUAUGGAGGGAAGUUGAGAUCCACUAGGUAUUCCAGAUCAUGUUGAAACAAGCAAGACCAAGAUCACUACACUCCCCAAUGGACUCAAAAUAGCAUCAGAGAUGUUGUCUGUGUCAUGUGGAGGUACUCAUUCAGUUGCUCUAACCCGAGAUGGACGCAUGUUUUCUGAAGACAUGAGGAUGGAAUGCAUAUCUAUGAGAAAGAGAACCAGUAAUUUCUUGACUAUGGAGGUUCCUGGGCUUGCUGAGAGAAGGCCCUCACUGGUUCAUGGGAUUUUAUCUUUGAAACUCUCAUCUGGACAUGAUAAUAAUACCACAUCCGUUUAUCAGGUUUGGUCCUUAUUUGGCUGCGGGUCACAUUCACUUGGAUAAAUAAAAUUUUUAGCUAGAAAUUGUUGCAUCAGCUGGUCAUUAUAUACUAUCAGAUGGAUACCAUAAUUAUUAACAUUUUUUUAUAUUUUCUUUUCAUGUGAUCUAGAGUCUGCUCUUGUAGAUAAUAAAAGUGCAUGCCUUUUUGAUUGUGUUAUCUUAACCAAUGAAUCAUAGAAUGCCAUAUCAUCUGUGGUGAUACAUUUAUGUUGGCAACAUUUGUUAUGUGUCAAUUAACAUUUCCUCUCUACAUUAGCAAACAUGAUUAUUAUAGAAUUGUAGAAUAUAAAAAAAGAUGGGUACUUUGUGUAAUAGAUUUGAUAUUGUUUUAUUGCUUAAGAUUCAAGAAAAACUUAACAGAAGGGUAUCCUUUUCUUGUUGGAAUUAUUUAUUUAUUUAUUUAGAAGGCUAGAUUUG
Non-coding RNA from Cajanus cajan (pigeon pea), 2634 nucleotides. Lineage: Eukaryota; Viridiplantae; Streptophyta; Magnoliopsida; Fabales; Fabaceae. The record is from RefSeq and is a predicted model, not a curated record.